GACGAACGCUGGCGGCGUGCUUAACACAUGCAAGUCGAACGGAAAGGCCCUGCUUUUGUGGGGUGCUCGAGUGGCGAACGGGUGAGUAACACGUGAGUAACCUGCCCUUGACUUUGGGAUAACUUCAGGAAACUGGGGCUAAUACCGGAUAGGAGCUCCUGCUACAUGGUGGGGGUUGGAAAGUUUCGGCGGUUGGGGAUGGACUCGCGGCUUAUCAGCUUGUUGGUGGGGUAGUGGCUUACCAAGGCUUUGACGGGUAGCCGGCCUGAGAGGGUGACCGGCCACAUUGGGACUGAGAUACGGCCCAGACUCCUACGGGAGGCAGCAGUGGGGAAUAUUGCACAAUGGGCGGAAGCCUGAUGCAGCAACGCCGCGUGCGGGAUGACGGCCUUCGGGUUGUAAACCGCUUUCGCCUGUGACGAAGCGUGAGUGACGGUAAUGGGUAAAGAAGCACCGGCAAACUACGUG
Molecule: ribosomal RNA, 468 nt
Filed under: uncultured bacterium
Lineage: Bacteria
Description: partial 16S ribosomal RNA
Rfam family: Bacterial small subunit ribosomal RNA
Source: RNAcentral